GUCUACGGCCAUACCACCCUGAACGUGCCCGAUCUUGUCUGUUCUUGGAAGCUAAGCGGGUCGGUCCUGGUUAGUACUUGGAUGGGAGGCAAAAAUAAGACACCUUACUCU
Ribosomal RNA from Nomascus leucogenys (northern white-cheeked gibbon), 111 nucleotides. The record is from Ensembl. Lineage: Eukaryota; Metazoa; Chordata; Mammalia; Primates; Hylobatidae.